Molecule: ribosomal RNA, 58 nt
Filed under: Scapania americana
Lineage: Eukaryota; Viridiplantae; Streptophyta; Jungermanniopsida; Jungermanniales; Scapaniaceae
Description: 5.8S ribosomal RNA
Rfam family: 5.8S ribosomal RNA
About the family: 5.8S ribosomal RNA (5.8S rRNA) is a component of the large subunit of the eukaryotic ribosome. It is transcribed by RNA polymerase I as part of the 45S precursor that also contains 18S and 28S rRNA. Functionally, it is thought that 5.8S rRNA may be involved in ribosome translocation.
Source: RNAcentral
ACGACUCUCAGCAACGGAUAUCUUGGCUCUUGCAACGAUGAAGAACGCAGCGAAAUGC